GACGAACGCUGGCGGCGUGCUUAACACAUGCAAGUCGAACGGAAAGGCCCUGCUUGCAGGGUACUCGAGUGGCGAACGGGUGAGUAACACGUGGGUGAUCUGCCCUGCACUUCGGGAUAAGCUUGGGAAACUGGGUCUAAUACCGGAUAGGAACCAUCUUUAGUGUGGUGGUUGGAAAGUUUUUUCGGUGUAGGAUGAGCUCGCGGCCUAUCAGCUUGUUGGUGGGGUAAUGGCCUACCAAGGCGGCGACGGGUAGCCGGCCUGAGAGGGUGUACGGCCACAAUGGGACUGAGAUACGGCCCAGACUCCUACGGGAGGCAGCAAUGGGGAAUAUUGCACAAUGGGCGCAAGCCUGAUGCAGCGACGCCGCGUGGGGGAUGAAGGCAUUCGGGUUGUAAACUCCUUUCGCUAGGGACGAAGCUUUGUUGUGACGGUACCUAGAUAAGAAGCACCGGCUAACUACGUG
Molecule: ribosomal RNA, 466 nt
Filed under: uncultured bacterium
Lineage: Bacteria
Description: partial 16S ribosomal RNA
Rfam family: Bacterial small subunit ribosomal RNA
Source: RNAcentral